RNAcentral lists this long non-coding RNA (942 nucleotides) under Equus caballus (horse). RNAcentral's name for it is "lncRNA (ENSECAG00000043423.2)". Lineage: Eukaryota; Metazoa; Chordata; Mammalia; Perissodactyla; Equidae. The record is from RNAcentral.
AGAGACAGCUGCUAUGCUCCAGCGUCCCGGAAAUUACUCAGAUUAGCCGAUCCAGAGGGAAUCUGAGGAACCCAGCUAACUCCACCUCACUUGCCACACAUAAACUGCCCCCUACAUACAGGUCCAGCCUGUGGGACAUUUUCCAGGUGCAACCCGCUCUGUGGCCCUGAGUGGCAGCCUUCUCUCUUUCAAAGUUGGAGGCAUACGGGUAACCCAAAUCAAUGGUAUUCUAAAAUGGAAUUGAUAAACUUUGUGGCUUUCAAUGUGACAAAUUAAUAACCCAUACUCCAGACAUAAAUGUCUUCAGGAGAGGCUUAAGUAAACAGGAUUUGCAAGCCCCAACUGAAUCAAGUUAUCUUAAAAUACAAGAAAAGCAUCCACAGUCCUUUGGCCUGUCAACCUACCUUGCUGGCACUCACUACCAAAGGCCUCUGAGGCCUGGAGAAUGUAUUUGACCCUUUAAAUGAUGGCCAGUUUCAUAAAAAAGAAGGAAAUCCUGCCUUUUGUGACAAUAUGGAUGGAUCUUGAGAGCAUUACACUAAGUAAAAUACUUCAGACAGAGAAAGCUGGAAUGGAGAAGGAUGAAUUCACCAAAACACUGGCCACAUACCAUCUGCUCCAACAGGGACACCACAUCAGCCAGAGCUACUAUGACCAAGACUCCUACUUGUUAAGUCUGAAGUAGUCCACAGUUGCUCUCCAGGAUGAGGUUUCUGUAAUCCCAAACUAAACAGAAAUAUGACAAGAAAAGGCCACCCAACUAUGAAAUAAGAGGAAAAAUCAAGAAGUGGAAAUCAAACACGACACUUUGAACCGACAGAAAUGGAAAUUUAAACCACUGCUAAAAUUAUUCUAUGUUAUUAAAACAACGUCUAUACCAAUAGUUCUCAAACUUCAAUGUAUAUCAGAAUUACUUGAAUUUCAUUGAAAAGAUAAAUUCCU